This 490-nucleotide ribosomal RNA is filed under the name uncultured bacterium. Its description in RNAcentral is "partial 16S ribosomal RNA". It matches the Rfam family "Bacterial small subunit ribosomal RNA", at positions 30 to 507 of the family's 1533-position model. The record is from RNAcentral.
AUUGAACGCUGGCGGCAGGCCUAACACAUGCAAGUCGAACGGUAACAGGAAGAAGCUUGCUUCUUUGCUGACGAGUGGCGGACGGGUGAGUAAUGUCUGGGAAACGGCCUGAUGGAGGGGGAUAACUACUGGAAACGGUAGCUAAUACCGCAUAAUGUCGCAAGACCAAAGAGGGGGACCUUCGGGCCUCUUGCCAUCGGAUGUGCCCAGAUGGGAUUAGCUAGUAGGUGGGGUAACGGCUCACCUAGGCGACGAUCCCUAGCUGGUCUGAGAGGAUGACCAGCCACACUGGAACUGAGACACGGUCCAGACUCCUACGGGAGGCAGCAGUGGGGAAUAUUGCACAAUGGGCGCAAGCCUGAUGCAGCUAUGCCGCGUGUAUGAAGAAGGCCUUCGGGUUGUAAAGUACUUUCAGCGGGGAGGAAGGGAGUAAAGUUAAUACCUUUGCUCAUUGACGUUACCCGCAGAAGAAGCACCGGCUAACUCCGUG